UAUAAGAAUAAAUUAUAAAUAUAUAUUUAAAGUAUUUACAAUUUAUUAAAUUUAUACAUUAAUUAUAUAUUUAUAAAAUAAAAAUAAUAUCUGUACGGAUCAAGCUCUAGUUUUAUAUUAAAAAAAUAAAAACAAAUGAAUUAUUAGAAAGGAGCAUUAGAAAAAAAGCUCUAGUUUUAUAUUAAAAAAAAUAAAAACAAAUGAAUUAUUAGAAAGGAGCAUUAGAAAAAAAGAACUGAAUAAGAAUAUAUGGGCAUUUGAUCCAAGGUCUUGUGACCUAAUUUAAAUAGACGGAAAAACAUCAGAUAAAAAUAUUGUAGUGGGCCAAGGAAAGAAAGAAAAGCCCAAAUUGAGAGAUAAGAGAUAUGUACGAAGAAACAAAUAACUACGUGACAAGAAUUAGAGUCAGCAAUGUUGAGGUGGCUUUAAGAAACCAACGAUUAGUAUCAAUUUGAUCCCGGAUUGAACACUAAAAUCUAUCUAUCUAUAUAUCUUAUACUAUAAAGUAGACUUCAAUCUCUCCAUUGGGCAUUUUGCGUCGGCAUGCAAAUCGACCAAUAAAUAAUAGUUAUUUUCGCCAUGUCAGAUAACCAAACCUCUCGCUGUAUUUCUUUCUCAACCUUCGUAGCUUAUUGAGAAAUUGAAAAGUCAAGAGACUUGAAUUUCUGCUCCACUCACUCAAUAACUUUGGCUAUUAUUUGCAUUUAUAAGAUCCGAAACACAAAUCUGGAAUCACUGUUCGACUUCUCCUCCUCUCCCACUUUUUAUAUCAUCAUCUAAAUCCGCUCUAACCUAAAGCCACUGUGGCAUCUAGAAAUUCCAAAUCAAACAUCCUCAUAUCUGCACGAGUCACAACUAUAGCCGCCUCACUAUGGUUUCAACUGAAGAGAGUCUUUUGGAAUGACCUCUAUGGAUCUUGGUAAAAAUUAAUUCCUCCGAUGAUGUUUACGGUCAGGAUUUUCUAUGAUUCAUGCGUCUGAUGCAUUUUUAGUGUGGGUUUUGAGUCAAAACUUUUGACCCAACCUAAAUAGGCUUAUUAUCAUGUUUUUGUGAUAUGUUAUCUGUUUGUAUCAUAAUUAUUUGAAAAUUGAAUUUACUGCACUAUGAUUGCUUGAGGAAAGGUAGAGCUCUCAACCCACUACUAUUCCGUUUUCUAUUUUUUAUUUUCUAGGAACAAAAUCUUUUCUAAUUUUCAUUUGACUAAACCAUUGAGGAUCAGCAGAAGAAGCUUAAUCAUCAAGUUAACUAAGAAAGAAUGAUGUUAAUAAGCUUCAGAUCAAGGUCGAUGAGAAGACAUGUCAAAUCGUUCCAUGCUCUCUUCAAGACCUUUGGUUGUGGGUCUGUGGCUCCGUAUCAUGUGUUCAUCUGUAGGUAUCCUCUUAAUUUUAAUGGCUACGGUGACUAUUUUAUGAUCCAGUCGUAAAUUUAGAAACUUUGUAUUUGCCCCAAAAAGUAAAUAUUUUUUGUAAUAUUUAUCUUAUCCGGUGAUAUGUCUUAUGUUAUCUUCACUCAUGAUCAAUGAUUUUAAUGGCCUCCCUGAUAUUUGUGAUCAUCUUUAGAAAGUUCACAAAACAUGUUCUUCCACAAUCCAAUCGACAAACCAAAGCCUCUGCCAAGACCUCUGAAAUCAAAUCAUAAUAUCAAAAUAUCUACAGGUAUUGCUUGGAUAUUUUUUUUAAAGUUUCAGUUCAUGUUUCUUAAUAAAGAUCUUCAUGAUUUGUUUUUGUAUACGUUUAUGAUUUCCGGAGCUUUGAUCAAAGUGUUGUUACUGGCUAACACAAACAUCCUCUUACCAGAUAUUGGUGGGGAAGUUAUGGGCAUCAAAACCACCCACAACGGUCAGUUCACAACUAACAACUUGCAUGUUCAUCCUCCUUACAUGGUGACAUAUAUUCAAUGAUCCCAGCGCUGAUAUGCCGGGGAGCUGCAUCUGUAAUAACAAAUCCCUCGCAUGGUGUGUACAUCGGUGUUUCUAUGACCAGCAGAAGGCUUGAUAGUCAUGGGAUGGUUGAAGAAAACAGAAGCGAGACAGCUCUACCAGGUGCUCGAGCUAUUGUUCCCGAAAUGACUGCGAAGUGCGGAGAAGCCAACAGUUCUGGAACAUGGGCUCUUUGUAAAGAAGGCAUGCAUUGAGUAAAAUCUUAAGUAAGGGAGUCUAUGACCCUCCUGUCGACUCCUACAAACUACGCUGGAGCUUUUUUAAAUUUCGCAUAUUAAUGAAAUAUGACUUGAGAAUCAUUCCCACCGCCAUGUUAUAUCUCAUCAAGUAAGCUCUGUUUUUACAUGUAUAUAUAUAUAAAUAAAAACUACCUUGCGAACUCGGUGGAGGCACUGACUUGAAGGUUCAA
This is an RNA transcript of Brassica napus (rape), 2348 nucleotides long. RefSeq lists it as uncharacterized. The transcript has 3 exons. The record is from RefSeq and is a predicted model, not a curated record. NCBI's taxonomy places the organism in Eukaryota, Viridiplantae, Streptophyta, Magnoliopsida, Brassicales, Brassicaceae.